This 61-nucleotide ribosomal RNA is filed under the name Alternaria sp. Its description in RNAcentral is "partial 28S ribosomal RNA". Lineage: Eukaryota; Fungi; Ascomycota; Dothideomycetes; Pleosporales; Pleosporaceae. The record is from RNAcentral. RNAcentral also lists the same sequence under 1 other name.
UUUUGACCUCGGAUCAGGUAGGGAUACCCGCUGAACUUAAGCAUAUCAAUAAGCGGGAGGA